UAGGAUGUUGGCUUAGAAGCAGCCAUCAUUUAAAGAAAGCGUAAUAGCUCACUAGUCGAGUCGGCCUGCGCGGAAGAUGUAACGGGGCUGAAAUAUAGCACCGAAGCUGCGGCAUCAGGCGUAUCACUAAUACGCCUUACGAUUAACAACAUGGAAUGGCGCGAAGCGACAUGAAAGGUUGUUCAAGCAACCCGAACGUUGAGUCGGGCAUCUUAGAGUGAGGAUGAUUAGUGAUACGCCUGUUGGGUAGGGGAGCGUUGUGUAAGCGGAUGAAGGUUAAUCGAGAGGUUAGCUGGACGUAUCACAAGUGCGAAUGCUGACAUAAGUAACGAUAAAACGGGUGAAAAACCCGUUCGCCGGAAGACCAAGGGUUCCUGUCCAACGUUAAUCGGGGCAGGGUGAGUCGGCUCCUAAGGCGAGGCUGAAAAGCGUAGUCGAUGGGAAACAGGUUAAUAUUCCUGUACUUGGUAAAGCUGCGAUGUGGGGACGGAGUAGGUUAGGUUAUCGCACUGUUGGAUAUGUGCGUUUAAGUUGGUAGGUGGGAAGUUUAGGCAAAUCCGGACUUCCUUAACACAGAGAGAUGAUGACGAGGCUCUACGGAGCUGAAGUAACUGAUACCACACUUCCAGGAAAAGCCACUAAGCGAAAGGCUUUACUAAACCGUACUGAAAACCGACACAGGUGGUCAGGUAGAGAAUACUCAGGCGCUUGAGAGAACUCGGGUGAAGGAACUAGGCAAAAUAGCACCGUAACUUCGGGAGAAGGUGCGCCGGCGUAGAUUGUAGUCCCUAGCGGGCGAAGGUUGAACCGGUCGAAGAUACCAGCUGGCUGCAACUGUUUAUUAAAAACACAGCACUCUGCAAACACGAAAGUGGAGGUAUAGGGUGUGAUGCCUGCCCGGUGCUGGAAGGUUAAUUGAUGGUGUCAUCGCAAGAGAAGCACCUGAUCGAAGCCCCAGUAAACGGCGGCCGUAACUAUAACGGUCCUAAGGUAGCGAAAUUCCUUGUCGGGUAAGUUCCGACCUGC
This 1026-nucleotide ribosomal RNA is filed under the name Haemophilus influenzae. RNAcentral describes it as "bacterial LSU rRNA". It matches the Rfam family "Bacterial large subunit ribosomal RNA", at positions 1094 to 1991 of the family's 2925-position model. The record is from RNAcentral. Lineage: Bacteria; Pseudomonadati; Pseudomonadota; Gammaproteobacteria; Pasteurellales; Pasteurellaceae.